GGUAACUGCCUCCGGAGGGAGGUGUUUUGCCGUAGAUGAUUUUUGCAUUUCAGUUAUCGCCCCACUUUUUGUGGGACUGGUAAUCGUACUAGUCGAUCAUUGGUUAGAUGACCGGCGGUAACUAGCAGUUACCACUGACCCACACACCUAAAACGUCGCUUUAGGUGAAAAA
Molecule: non-coding RNA, 172 nt
Filed under: Amylolactobacillus amylophilus DSM 20533 = JCM 1125
Lineage: Bacteria; Bacillati; Bacillota; Bacilli; Lactobacillales; Lactobacillaceae
Description: Lactobacillus amylophilus DSM 20533 = JCM 1125 Enterococcus sRNA B11
Rfam family: Enterococcus sRNA B11
About the family: Name 'Ref' stands for RNA in E. faecalis.
Source: Rfam by way of RNAcentral